UGCUUUACACAUGCAAGUCGAACGGGCUUGAGGGGCUUGCUCCUCAGGUUAGUGGCGAACGGGUGAGUAACAUAUCGGAACAUAUCCGGAAGUGGGGGAUAACGUACCGAAAGGUACGCUAAUACCGCAUAUGCCCUGAGGGGGAAAGGGGGGGAUCGCAAGACCUCUCGCUUUCGGAGUGGCCGAUAUCGGAUUAGCUAGUUGGUGAGGUAAAGGCUCACCAAGGCGACGAUCCGUAGCUGGUCUGAGAGGACGACCAGCCACACUGGAACUGAGACACGGUCCAGACUCCUACGGGAGGCAGCAGUGGGGAAUUUUGGACAAUGGGCGCAAGCCUGAUCCAGCCAUACCGCGUGAGUGAAGAAGGCCUUCGGGUUGUAAAGCUA
RNAcentral lists this ribosomal RNA (386 nucleotides) under uncultured organism. RNAcentral describes it as "bacterial SSU rRNA". It matches the Rfam family "Bacterial small subunit ribosomal RNA", at positions 45 to 433 of the family's 1533-position model. The record is from RNAcentral.